GAAGAGUGAAGAAUUUAGCUAAGGGCCUUGACCCUUGUGCUGGCACUGUGUGAGUGCUCUCUAAGUAGGCGUGUCAUCCUGGGUCCUGAACCCAGGGCCAGGGUGGGCAGGGCUUUCUGCCACACUGCUUGGGACUCAGAUCCAGGUACUGUAUGAUGUCUUGGUAUAUGAAUAGCUUGUAAAAGUUAAAUCUCUUCCCUCUGCUCACCGGGACCCAUUUCUACAGCAAGACCUGGGAGCCAAGUGCUGGAGGAAGAGUGAAUGACUGUCCCUCUGGGAUUGGAAGUAGAGCAGAAGUUGUGCUGUUUCAAUGAACACGACAUGGAAAGGCUGACUGAGGGAAGUGAGCAGAGACUCCC
Long non-coding RNA from Ochotona princeps (American pika), 359 nucleotides. RefSeq lists it as uncharacterized. The transcript has 4 exons. The record is from RefSeq and is a predicted model, not a curated record. NCBI's taxonomy places the organism in Eukaryota, Metazoa, Chordata, Mammalia, Lagomorpha, Ochotonidae.